Long non-coding RNA from Solanum lycopersicum (tomato), 586 nucleotides. RefSeq lists it as uncharacterized. The record is from RefSeq and is a predicted model, not a curated record. NCBI's taxonomy places the organism in Eukaryota, Viridiplantae, Streptophyta, Magnoliopsida, Solanales, Solanaceae.
GUUUCUAUAAUGGUUAGGUGUCAUCUUGUUGUUAAAUCAAUUUUUGUCUUUUCAAUUUCUUUUUGCAACGUGUCUUCCUGAUAUCAACUUAUGCAUGUGAUCCUCUAUGUCUUCCUUCUAUUCUUCCUGUAAUGAUAUCACUAUUUUCACAUCAAAGUUCAAUUCUUUCUCUUCAUCAUUUACCAGGGUGAAGGUAAGGAUUUGAAAUUCUUACAACUAAGGUUCGUUUAUAGAAAUAUAGAAUAUCAACAAAAUCGACGAGAACACGGAAGAAUGGACUUGUAAAGUUCAAGUGGUAGAUAAAGGCCAUCCUCGAACCAACAGGGAGAGAAACAAGAAAUAUCAAUUGAUGAUAUUACAAGACGAAGAGGUGUUUAUCACAUAAACAAAAGAUAUUCAUCUACUUUCACAAAUCAGUUUGUAGCAAAAUAUACAAGUUGCAUAUCAUUUUUACUUUGCUUUUUAAUGGUUGUAAUCUGCCUUCAUUUAUUUAUCUUCAAUUCAAUGCUCUUCUACUUAGUUGAAAUAUUGUUGCUUGUGAGUUUUGAUGUGAAACACUUGUUGUCACUCUAAAUUUACAUUUUAA